GUUAUUAUAAGCAUAGAGGAUAGGUUGUAAUAUAAUUUCUUUUUUAAUUGUUAUAAAUUCGUAAUUCGUAGCUUUCUUUAGUUUUAAGUUAGUUUUCAUCUUAAGUUCGGAAAGAUUAUAAUAUUUCUUUAGUUUAAGUCCGUUUUUAAACUAUUUUUUUCAAUGCCCUAAGUGAGUAUACAUCUAUUAAAUUCAAACGCAGAGCUCAUUAUGUUGAUUUUUGAAGAGUUCCCUGGAAUAUCUUCUACAUCUCAUUUUUGAAGAGAUUCCGCGAGAUCGGGAACUAUGUGGUUAAAAGCAAAAAUUUGCCGGAAGUCACUAUUCCACGCGAACGAAGUCGCGGGCAAAAGCUAUAUGUUAAUAUGUGAUAAAAAGACAGUAAAUUAUUGUCUCACAGAUUGAUUCUGUGAUAGAAACCUAAAAAGACAGGUAUAAGUUCUAGCUACUAUUGUGAUUUUUUAUAUUAUUUAUGUAUGUGGUUUUAGGUAUAGCGUAUUGCAUAUUGCAUACUAAAUUAUUCAAAAUAAUUUAGUAUGCAAACAUGCACUUGUCUUAGAGAUUGAUUCUGUGAUAGAAACCUAAAAAGAUAGGAAUAAUAACAAUAUUAUAAACCUUAAGUUUAAAAAGUAAAUUAUUGUAAAUAUGUUGAUCUGUAAUAAAACAAAGAAAUGUAUAUUAUUGUAAAUAAGGCAUUGAUUAUUCUGUAAAAAAAAUCGUUAGGUACUAUCGUUAGGUACUAUUGUUAGGUAAUAUUGUGUUAAUCUAUGAUAUCUACCUAAGUUGUUAACAGUAAAUAAUCAGACGAUCUUUAAUAAUAUUAUUACUAGUAACUGUAACCUAAGUACCUUGUUUUGAUCUCAAUUACUUGACUCAGUGUGAUUUGUGAAAAUAUAUAUGUCUUUUAAGAUACUUGUAAAUGUUUUAUUUGUCUUAUUUUCGAUGUGAGUAAAAAACAUGAAAAUAUGUUUUCCCUUGAACGGAUACAACUUCGCUUUAUAUCUGAGCAAACUACGUCACUAGUGGGGACAAAUCAAUUUAUUUUUCCCGUCUGCCACCACUGGGGACAACUGGGAAUAAAAGUAAUAGUCAUUCCCAUUUGUCACCACUGGAGCGUCCCCACUGGGGACAAAUGGGAAUAUUUAAAAAAAAAAUUCCCAUUUGUCACCAGUGGUGACAUGGACGGUGGGGACAAAUGGGAAUGAUUCCAUGGAAUCAAGAGUGCGAACAAGUCCCAACAAUUGUCAACGCUGCUUAAGGAUAUGGCAAAUCAUGGUGACCCGGCGAGGCCUCUUGCUGCAUCACUAGGUUGGGUACGGUCAGACUGACUGUGGACUGAACUGACAAACAUAUUGAAUGCUGUUGGUGGUGGUGGCAGCAAGACUACAGACAAGUGAUAAAAAGCGUCGUCCGCGGUUGAGAUCGCCAGCGACACCGCAGUCUGCUGUUUCUCCCGACCGCCCUCGUUUGAGCGCCCGCCGCCGUUGAUGCACCGACCCCCUUCGAGACAGCGGCAAGCGAGUAGCUAAAAAGCUAAGAGCACACAGCACCUGAAAAUUAUAAUAAUACAGAUUUAGA
Long non-coding RNA from Spodoptera frugiperda (fall armyworm), 1575 nucleotides. RefSeq lists it as uncharacterized. Lineage: Eukaryota; Metazoa; Arthropoda; Insecta; Lepidoptera; Noctuidae. The transcript is spliced from 3 exons. The record is from RefSeq and is a predicted model, not a curated record.